Molecule: ribosomal RNA, 849 nt
Filed under: uncultured bacterium
Lineage: Bacteria
Description: bacterial SSU rRNA
Rfam family: Bacterial small subunit ribosomal RNA
Source: RNAcentral
UCCGGAUUUAUUGGGUUUAAAGGGUGUGUAGGCGGAAAAAUCAGUCAGUGGUGAAAUCCUGCAGCUUAACUGCAGAACUGCCUUUGAUACUGUUUUUCUUGAAUAUAGUUGAAGUGGGCGGAAUGUGUCAUGUAGCGGUGAAAUGCAUAGAUAUGACACAGAACACCGAUUGCGAAGGCAGCUCACUAAGCUAUUAUUGACGCUGAGGCACGAAAGCGUGGGUAGCGAACAGGAUUAGAUACCCUGGUAGUCCACGCCGUAAACGAUGAUUACUCGAUGUUGGCGAUAUACUGUCAGCGUCCAAGCGAAAGUGUUAAGUAAUCCACCUGAGGAGUACGGUCGCAAGAUUGAAACUCAAAGGAAUUGACGGGGGCCCGCACAAGCGGAGGAACAUGUGGUUUAAUUCGAUGAUACGCGAGGAACCUUACCUGGGCUUAAAUGUAAGAUGACAGGCUGGGAAACCAGUCCUCCUUCGGGCAACUUACAAGGUGCUGCAUGGCUGUCGUCAGCUCGUGCCGUGAGGUGUCGGGUUAAGUCCCAUAACGAGCGCAACCCCUAUCUCUAGUUGCCAGCACAUAAUGGUGGGGACUCUAGAGAAACUGCCCGCGCAAGCGGUGAGGAAGGUGGGGAUGACGUCAAGUCAGCACGGCCCUUACGUCCAGGGCUACACACGUGUUACAAUGGCCGGUACAGAGGGCAGCUACCUGGUGACAGGAUGCAAAUCUCUAAAGCCGGUCUCAGUUCGGAUCGAAGUCUGCAACUCGACUUCGUGAAGUUGGAUUCGCUAGUAAUCGCGCAUCAGCCUCGGCGCGGUGAAUACGUUCCCGGGCCUUGCACACACCGCCCGUC